AAGUCGUAACAAGGUUUCCGUAGGUGAACCUGCGGAAGGAUCAUUAACACGUAUCCAACGUUAAACCCCCCCUGUGAACUUUUACUCUUGCCCCGAGGCUCGUCCCAAAUUGCAAUCCCUGGUAAAUCAUUGUUGAACAGAUUUUGAUUCAGGGACCUCAGUUUGUGACUUGAUUAGUUGAGCGAUCGUGCGCAAGUGGCCUGGUUUCCCCAAGCAGUCAGUGUCUGAAAGUGUGCGGCCCCAUAUUUACCCCACUAACUAUCAAACCCGCCCUAAUGGAAACUGUGGGCGUUACAAAACUUGAACAACUGUUAACAAUGGAUAUCUUGGUUCUC
This 335-nucleotide unclassified non-coding RNA is filed under the name fungal sp. RNAcentral's name for it is "partial internal transcribed spacer region". The stretch from base 1 to 46 matches the Rfam family "Eukaryotic small subunit ribosomal RNA", at positions 1786 to 1831 of the family's 1831-position model. Lineage: Eukaryota; Fungi. The record is from RNAcentral.